GUGCACGCUGGCGGUAGGCCUAACACAUGCAAGUCGAACGGCAGCACAGUAAGAGCUUGCUCUUACGGGUGGCGAGUGGCGGACGGGUGAGGAAUACAUCGGAAUCUACUUUUUCGUGGGGGAUAACGUAGGGAAACUUACGCUAAUACCGCAUACGACCUACGGGUGAAAGCAGGGGAUCUUCGGACCUUGCGCAAUUGAAUGAGCCGAUGUCGGAUUAGCUAGUUGGCGGGGUAAAGGCCCACCAAGGCGACGAUCCGUAGCUGGUCUGAGAGGAUGAUCAGCCACACUGGAACUGAGACACGGUCCAGACUCCUACGGGAGGCAGCAGUGGGGAAUAUUGGACAAUGGGCGCAAGCCUGAUCCAGCCAUACCGCGUGGGUGAAGAAGGCCUUCGGGUUGUAAAGCCCUUUUGUUGGGAAAGAAAAGCAGCAGGUUAAUACCCCGCUGUUCUGACGGUACCCAAAGAAUAAGCACCGGCUAACUUCGUG
RNAcentral lists this ribosomal RNA (491 nucleotides) under uncultured bacterium. RNAcentral's name for it is "partial 16S ribosomal RNA". It matches the Rfam family "Bacterial small subunit ribosomal RNA", at positions 29 to 507 of the family's 1533-position model. The record is from RNAcentral.